RNAcentral lists this ribosomal RNA (433 nucleotides) under uncultured bacterium. Its description in RNAcentral is "partial 16S ribosomal RNA". It matches the Rfam family "Bacterial small subunit ribosomal RNA", at positions 29 to 507 of the family's 1533-position model. The record is from RNAcentral.
AACGAACGCUGGCGGCAUGCCUAACACAUGCAAGUCGAACGAGACCUUCGGGUCUAGUGGCGCACGGGUGCGUAACGCGUGGGAACCUGCCCUUAGGUUCGGAAUAACUCCCCGAAAGGGGUGCUAAUACCGGAUGAUGUCUUCGGACCAAAGAUUUAUCGCCUUUGGAUGGGCCCGCGUUGGAUUAGCUAGUUGGUAGGGUAAAAGCCUACCAAGGCGACGAUCCAUAGCUGGUCUGAGAGGAUGAUCAGCCACACUGGGACUGAGACACGGCCCAGACUCCUACGGGAGGCAGCAGUGGGGAAUAUUGGACAAUAGGCGAAAGCCUGAUCCAGCAAUGCCGCGUGAGUGAUGAAGGCCUUAGGGUUGUAAAGCUCUUUUACCCGGGAUGAUAAUGACAGUACCGGGAGAAUAAGCUCCGGCUAACUCCGUG